GUGAAUCAUCGAAUUUUUGAACGCAAAUUGCACUCUCUUCGGAGAGUAUGCGUGUUUGAGGGUCAGACUAAAAAAAUCGAUGUAGUCGCUGUUUCGCGGUGACAUUCGUCGGUAUUUGGGUCAUCUUACUCCAUUGGGUUUUUUAAGCGGCUUAGAAUUUUCUUUACGAUACCACGAACGUUUAUAAGAUUUUAAUUCUUACAAACGUUAAAGGUACCGUUCUUUAUUUGACGUGGGCGUUGC
This 243-nucleotide unclassified non-coding RNA is filed under the name Glomus sp. Its description in RNAcentral is "partial contains 5.8S ribosomal RNA and internal transcribed spacer 2". The stretch from base 1 to 65 matches the Rfam family "5.8S ribosomal RNA", at positions 84 to 154 of the family's 154-position model. Lineage: Eukaryota; Fungi; Glomeromycota; Glomeromycetes; Glomerales; Glomeraceae. The record is from RNAcentral.